AGUGAACGCUGGCGGUAGGCCUAACACACGCAAGUCGAACGGCAGCACAGUAAGAGCUUGCUCUUACGGGUGGCGAGUGGCGGACGGGUGAGGAAUACAUCGGAAUCUACUUUUUCGUGGGGGAUAACGUAGGGAAACUUACGCUAAUACCGCAUACGACCUACGGGUGAAAGCAGGGGAUCUUCGGACCUUGCGCGAUUGAAUGAGCCGAUGUCGGAUUAGCUAGUUGGCGGGGUAAAGGCCCACCAAGGCGACGAUCCGUAGCUGGUCUGAGAGGAUGAUCAGCCACACUGGAACUGAGACACGGUCCAGACUCCUACGGGAGGCAGCAGUGGGGAAUAUUGGGCAAUGGGCGCAAGCCUGAUCCAGCCAUACCGCGUGGGUGAAGAAGGCCUUCGGGUUGUAAAGCCCUUUUGUUGGGAAAGAAAAGCAGCAGGUUAAUACCCCGCUGUUCUGACGGUACCCAAAGAAUAAGCACCGGCUAACUU
Molecule: ribosomal RNA, 488 nt
Filed under: uncultured bacterium
Lineage: Bacteria
Description: partial 16S ribosomal RNA
Rfam family: Bacterial small subunit ribosomal RNA
Source: RNAcentral